Molecule: long non-coding RNA, 481 nt
Organism: Suricata suricatta (meerkat)
Lineage: Eukaryota; Metazoa; Chordata; Mammalia; Carnivora; Herpestidae
Exons: 2
Source: RefSeq, a predicted model, not a curated record
CGACGGCACCGCGCCUCUCACACUGCGGCCACAGUCCCCACACAGCCCUUUGUCCUGUGUUUCCAAACGGGAGCCAUGUGACAGGGCUGCGGGCCCACUGAGUUCCAGACGGAGCGGGAGGAGGCUUCCCUCCCUCUGUUUACCGUCAUCAUCGGGCCUCCAGCCCCCCGAGCGUGUCUUGGGCUGGAUCAAGUGUCUGUCAGGAACAGGCUUCUGCAGGUUCUCGAGUGUGAGGUGGGGACCUCGGGGUGGCGCUCUGUGAACUCAGGACGGUCCGCGCUUGGCUCCACGCCCAUCCGCAUCCACAGAGCAAAGCUGUGCCCUCCGGCCAGAACAGCAGACAGCAAGGCCCCACCCCUGCGACUCCCUGGGGCGAUUCCUGCCAACAACUGAAAGAAUUUGCUGGCGACGCCCUUUGCAGCCCCAGAUCAGGGCUGAAUCCGGCCCCUCUGCCUGUUCCAUAAAGUUUUAUUGACACCCA